RNAcentral lists this ribosomal RNA (433 nucleotides) under uncultured bacterium. RNAcentral's name for it is "partial 16S ribosomal RNA". It matches the Rfam family "Bacterial small subunit ribosomal RNA", at positions 29 to 507 of the family's 1533-position model. The record is from RNAcentral.
AACGAACGCUGGCGGCAUGCCUAACACAUGCAAGUCGAACGAGACCUUCGGGUCUAGUGGCGCACGGGUGCGUAACGCGUGGGAACCUGCCCUUAGGUUCGGAAUAACUCCCCGAAAGGGGUGCUAAUACCGGAUAAUGUCUUCGGACCAAAGAUUUAUCGCCUUUGGAUGGGCCCGCGUUGGAUUAGCUAGUUGGUAGGGUAAAAGCCUACCAAGGCGACGAUCCAUAGCUGGUCUGAGAGGAUGAUCAGCCACACUGGGACUGAGACACGGCCCAGACUCCUACGGGAGGCAGCAGUGGGGAAUAUUGGACAAUGGGCGAAAGCCUGAUCCAGCAAUGCCGCGUGAGUGAUGAAGGACUUAGGGUUGUAAAGCUCUUUUACUCGGGAUGAUAAUGACAGUACCGGGAGAAUAAGCUCCGGCUAACUCCGUG